Molecule: long non-coding RNA, 500 nt
Filed under: Cucumis sativus (cucumber)
Lineage: Eukaryota; Viridiplantae; Streptophyta; Magnoliopsida; Cucurbitales; Cucurbitaceae
Description: long non-coding RNA (CSAT_LNC002977)
Source: RNAcentral
AAACGGCUGUAAAUAGAGCAACACUGAAUGCGACUCAACCGGAAAAGAAAAAUCGGCUUCAAAUCGUAACUCCGUCUUCCAACGAGCAGAAGAACGACGACUUGAUAGGGGACACGCAAUUUAGGAAGAGAUCGGCUACCGGUGGGGACACGGCGUUGCAGAUCUGGACAACGCGCGCAGAGACAAAGGUUGCGCGGUGCUGGGCAGAGGGUCACACGGCACUGGGCGGAGGGUCACGCGGUGCUGGGCAGAGGGUCACACGACGCUGGGCAGAAAACAGAGGAGAAAGGAGAGGGGAGACAGCCGGCGGUUACAGGUUCACGCGGCGGCCUUGGCUUCGACGGACGGAAGGGAAGAGAGGGAGAUGAUCGGCGGCUGCGACAAAUAAAAGAAGAAAAAGGAAAGAGGUGGGCGGCUGCUAGGGUGAACGGCUGGUAGGGUGAACGGAGAAGAAGAAAGAGAUGGAGGACGCACUGGAGGAAGAAGGAAGGGAAAAAUUC